Molecule: ribosomal RNA, 516 nt
Filed under: Dematochroma sp. JGZ-26
Lineage: Eukaryota; Metazoa; Arthropoda; Insecta; Coleoptera; Chrysomelidae
Description: partial 12S ribosomal RNA
Source: RNAcentral
ACGCAUUCUAGAGCCUAUAUUCAUUCUAAUUAACAAUCAAAAUUACACUCAAAUCCAAAUUCUAAAUUUUGAUACCAAAAUCUAUCUUAAAAUUAAAAUUAUUGUAAUCCAUCUCUUCUAUUAAAAGCUGCACCUUGAUCUGAUCUUUUAUAUAAUAAUAUAACUAAAUUAUAUAUUUUUAAAAAUAGUUAAAAACGACGAUAUACAAGCAUAAUAAUAGUAUUAUUAAUCGUGGAUCAUCGAUUACAGGACAGAUUCCCCUGAUUGGAAUAAAAAACCGCCAAAUUUUUUGAUUUUGAAGAACAUAACUUUAACUAAUCAAGUUUUAAAUUUUUCAACGUCUAGAAUAAUGGGGUAUCUAAUCCCAGUUUAAAACCCAGAUUUCUCAACCUCAUAAACAAAAAUUAAAUUAAAUAAAAAAUAGGAUUUCACUCGAUAUUAAAUUAAAAUAAAAAUUUCAAAUCUAUUAAUUAAAUAUAACUAAAAAAAAAUAAUAGCAUUAUUUGUUUAACCGCA